AUGAUACACAUCCUCAGAGAUGUGGACACCAAGGAACUUAAGGCUGGAGACACACUCUACUUCAGACCCGUUGAUUCUUUAGAUCUCCUGCCUGUAGGCCGAUUCAUCGUUGUUGCUGAUUCGGCCAACAACUGUGGUAUCAUCUGCAUACUUGAUGAAGACGUUGGAGUUAUGUUGCGGAACACAGUCAAGGGUGUCACCCAGCCCAGUGUGACGGUGCUGCCCCCCUCCAGUGUGGAGCUGCAGCAGGAGAAGGUCACACUCAUGUGUGUGGCCUACAAGGGCUUCCCCUCGGACUGGAAGUUGAGCUGGAAGGUUGAUGGCAGCAGCUGGAGCUCGGGGGAAAGCAGCAGCACCUCCGUUCUGAACGCUGACGGCCUCUACAGCUGGAGCAGCACACUGAGCCUCCACCGGGAGCAGUGGAGGAACAAGGUGGUGACCUGUGAGGCCUCCAAAGACAACCAACCUACUGUGGUGAGCACAGUGAACACAGAGCAGUGCUCAGAGCUGUGAGAUCACACACACUUUACUCAGCUCACCUUCUACUGCUUCACUGUGUGGUACAUGUGGCCUUUACUGCUCAAAUCAUCCUCUCUCAUCAUUUCAUUUGUGUUAUUAACAUGUGAGCUCACACACUCCUCAGUUUAAC
This is a non-coding RNA of Hemibagrus wyckioides, 649 nucleotides long. The record is from the annotation of a RefSeq genome assembly. NCBI's taxonomy places the organism in Eukaryota, Metazoa, Chordata, Actinopteri, Siluriformes, Bagridae.